UACGUAGGGUCCGAGCGUUGUCCGGAAUUACUGGGCGUAAAGAGCUCGUAGGUGGUUUGUCGCGUUGUUCGUGAAAACUCACAGCUUAACUGUGGGCGUGCGGGCGAUACGGGCAGACUGGAGUACUGCAGGGGAGACUGGAAUUCCUGGUGUAGCGGUGAAAUGCGCAGAUAUCAGGAGGAACACCGAUGGCGAAGGCAGGUCUCUGGGCAUUAACUGACGCUGAGGAGCGAAAGCAUGGGGAGCGAACAGG
RNAcentral lists this ribosomal RNA (253 nucleotides) under uncultured bacterium. RNAcentral describes it as "partial 16S ribosomal RNA". It matches the Rfam family "Bacterial small subunit ribosomal RNA", at positions 524 to 776 of the family's 1533-position model. The record is from RNAcentral.